UUUUUGUGUUUGACAAGACCUUCGAACUUGUGCCUACGUACCAACAUAAAAAUGAGGGAUCAAAACCUCGUAGUUUGUGGUAUCAAUUUCAAAGUGAGUGAGUUGCUUUUAACAAAAUUUAAGUUUGAAAGAGGCACAAAAGGACUAAAAAAAGUUUGGAUGGGUGUUAGUUCUUUUUGUCUUUUGAAAGUUUAAGUCAAGUAUAAUUGAGUUCAUUUACAAGUUGAUUAAGAAAAGAGUUUAAAAAUUCAAUGGCAUAAGGCCAAGGUUUCUAAUUUGCAAUAUGGUCUAAGUUUAGAAAACAAACACAAGCAAAGCAGAUUUUAAAAGGAGGGAGAGAUUUGAAAUUAAAGAAAUGGGGAGGAGAUGGAGAGACUAUGCCUUUUGUGUCACAAAUUUAGCGAUAUGUUAAGCAAUCGUAAUUGGACUUAUGUAAAAGUCACAACUAUUUGAGACCGGGCAAUAGAAUUUUUGUGUUAAUGCAUGUUAGAGACAUAGUAUAAUGAACUAUGCUCAUGAAACAUACCACACACGAAAAGAAUAUGCAAAAUGGGGGACCUAAUCUCAUCCAUACUGAUGUUGAUUUUGCAAUCAACGAGUUUUAGGAUAUAGAGAUGUCAUUGGUCCAUGACAUGAAUGAAUGAAGAAGAGGGAAUAAGAUGAAGAUGGAGGGGGAAUGGAUUCAACACAAAUUGGUCAAAGGAGGACUUUUACCAAAUUAAGAUCAUUCAUUCAUUUUGGGAGAUGGAAUGUACAUUCCAUCAAUCCCCUAAAUCCACUGAUCUUAACCUAACAAAGUCAAAUCAACCUUGACCAAGGCCCAACAACACAAGUCAAACUCAACAAGUCAAUUAAAAUGGCUCUACACAAUUAAUUUG
Molecule: long non-coding RNA, 878 nt
Filed under: Lathyrus oleraceus (garden pea)
Lineage: Eukaryota; Viridiplantae; Streptophyta; Magnoliopsida; Fabales; Fabaceae
Description: Pisum sativum (pea) long non-coding RNA (PSAT_LNC012216)
Source: RNAcentral